AAAAGCUUUAACAACGGAUCUCUUGGUUCUCGCAUCGAUGAAGAACGCAGCAAAGCGCGAUAGGUAAUGCGAAUUGCAGACGUGAGUCAUUGAAUUUUUGAACGCACAUUGCACUAUUUAGUUCUCUAGAUAGUAUACUUGUGUGAGCGUCAUUUC
RNAcentral lists this ribosomal RNA (156 nucleotides) under Wickerhamiella sp. UFMG-CM-Y5987. RNAcentral's name for it is "5.8S ribosomal RNA". It matches the Rfam family "5.8S ribosomal RNA". Rfam says of the family: 5.8S ribosomal RNA (5.8S rRNA) is a component of the large subunit of the eukaryotic ribosome. It is transcribed by RNA polymerase I as part of the 45S precursor that also contains 18S and 28S rRNA. Functionally, it is thought that 5.8S rRNA may be involved in ribosome translocation. Lineage: Eukaryota; Fungi; Ascomycota; Dipodascomycetes; Dipodascales; Trichomonascaceae. The record is from RNAcentral. RNAcentral also lists the same sequence under 2 other names.